Molecule: non-coding RNA, 593 nt
Organism: Rattus norvegicus (Norway rat)
Lineage: Eukaryota; Metazoa; Chordata; Mammalia; Rodentia; Muridae
Source: RefSeq, a predicted model, not a curated record
UAAGGGAGGAGGUAAGUAACUAGGUGCCCUGGGAAAGGGGGGUGGGGUGCAUAUGGCACCAGAGGGGUGUUCUCAUCUCAGCAGACCUUCUGACCUUAGCUCUGAAAUCUUUCCACCCGACUAGCUAAGUUCCCAUGGCAGGUCUCGUCCACGCCAGCCCCAUGCAUCUAAAUUCUGUGGCUGACCGGAACUCAGUUGAGUCACCGAGUAAAGGAAAACACCACACAGUCUUAGUUCAGAAUCAACUGGUAAAACGAUCGCUGGGAGCAACAACUACUAUCCUAUCAUUAGUGUCCUUAAAAGAGACAAGAAUGCUCACCCAUUAGCUCCAGCAGACACACAGCCAUGAAAGAAGAGGACAGGGUAACGUCUACAACACGGGAGAAGAUCCUUCCAUACAACCAGUCCCUGGCAGACUUUCACUGUAGACUGGUGAGUCUCCAGCACUCGGAGAAAAUAACUCUGUUCUUCAAGAUCGGUCCAGUCUGUGAUAUUUUGCCAUGGCAGCCUGAGAACACCAAGACAGAUGGUAAUUAAUUUGAUCUGCCAGAAAGGUCAGAUAUGGCAAAUUAAAGCUCUAAAUUAGCCAUAAA